CCUCCUCUCACUUUCUCAAGCGAAAUGUUGAAACUGAUUUCUUAAAUUAAAAGACAAAAAACCCUAGACUUUCAUUCUCCAAAUCUAUUUUCUACCAAAUCCUCAUCUGCUCUCUCUAAACGUACAGCCACCACGCCAAACCUUCACAUCUUUCGCCGGCGACUUAUCUGUUCUCUUGUGAGCAGCGGCGGUGACCAGAGCGAGGCAGUAGGGGAAAGCUUGGGCUACGAUCUGCGGCGACGAUAGCGACAGCAACAACUGCGAGCACCACGGGCUACGAUCUGCGGCGACAGUAGCUCUUUCUGACCGUCGCCCAUCGCCACACCGUCGUCGUCUCCGCUACCCAGCCAUAGCCACAGCCGCCGUAGCAGCAUCGCACAGCCUCCAUCGUCUCGGCCUCCGCCACAGCCGCCGCACCAACCAUUUUUGAGCCCACAUUGUCAGUCCUAUUUUACUGCUUCCUAGGUAUCAAGUUCUGAGAAGACUAUCAAUUAAUUGACACACCACCAGAAGUGUGUGCUUGUGGAUACACAGGGUGAUGGUAAUAAUCGAAAAAUUACAGCUUUCUUGGGUGGUCUUGAUCUCUGUGACGGUCGCUGUGAUACACCUGAACACCGUCUAUUUCAUAAUCCAAGUCGUAUUAAUUUUCAUUUGGACUCAAGAAAGGCAAGUUUUGCUAAUGUGGAUCCCUCCAUGUAUUCUAGUGAAUUUUAUUUGACAACUUCACACGUACACUGCAGGAAGUAGAAACAACUCCUGCGUAUCCAGAUAUAUGUUUUGUCGUUGAUGAUUUUGAUUCUACUUUUGAUGGAGUGGUAAUGCAUUGGUUCUCUUCUUUAGUAUUGGUAGAAUUACCUUGUUACACUUGUUGCUGUUCAUAGAUGCAUUCAAGCUUUAGCAUGCUGUUCAAACUCACUUUGAUGAGGCUGUUUCCCCAAUUGCAUAUAUUUAUGUGUCCCAUAUGAUGUCCUCAUGUAUGCAUCUCUCUCAUGUAUGCUGGAAGGAACUGUAUGCUCGUGGUGACAGUAUUCAGGUUUACACUUGAUCAACUUCAUUGAAGGAGGUUGUGGAUGCUGCAUUGAUCAAAGCCAUUGAAGCAGUGCCGGAUUUGAAGGCUUAUUUCGGUGCAACGAGCAUACUUAUGUAGUAUCAAAUAAGUAUAUUUUCAUACUUCAAGUAGUACGGAGUAUCAAUCAAGUAGUAUAUAUUUUUUAUGUUUUUUAUGUUUUUUUUUUUUUUUUUUUU
Molecule: long non-coding RNA, 1245 nt
Organism: Ipomoea nil (Japanese morning glory)
Lineage: Eukaryota; Viridiplantae; Streptophyta; Magnoliopsida; Solanales; Convolvulaceae
Exons: 3
Source: RefSeq, a predicted model, not a curated record